CCCUAACUCCGGUUGAUCCUGCCGGAGGCCACUGCUAUGGGGGUUCGGCUAAGCCAUGCAAGUGGAGGGCGCGGUCUUCCGACCGUGGCCCCGCGCAAGGCUCAGUAACACGUAGUCAACCUACCCUCGGGUGGGGGAUAACCUCGGGAAACUGAGGAUAAUACCCCAUAGGUGAGGGAGGCUGGAAGGCGCCCUCACCGAAAGCCACGGCGCCCGAGGAUGGGACUGCGGCCUAUCAGGUAGUUGGUGGUGUAACGGACCACCAAGCCUACGACGGGUACGGGCGAUGGGAGUCGGAGCCCGGAGAUGGGGACUGAGACAAGGCCCCAGGCCCUACGGGGCGCAGCAGGCGCGAAAACUCCGCAAUGCGCGAAAGCGUGACGGGGGAACCCC
RNAcentral lists this ribosomal RNA (393 nucleotides) under Hadesarchaea archaeon. Its description in RNAcentral is "bacterial SSU rRNA". It matches the Rfam family "Archaeal small subunit ribosomal RNA", at positions 1 to 382 of the family's 1478-position model. Lineage: Archaea; Methanobacteriati; Hadarchaeota (SeqCode); Hadarchaeia (SeqCode). The record is from RNAcentral.